Molecule: transfer RNA, 86 nt
Filed under: marine eukaryotic metagenome
Rfam family: tRNA
About the family: Transfer RNA (tRNA) molecules are approximately 80 nucleotides in length. Their secondary structure includes four short double-helical elements and three loops (D, anti-codon, and T loops).
Source: RNAcentral
GAGGAGUGGCUGAGUGGUUGAAGGCACCGGUCUUGAAAACCGGCAACGUCUUCAUGGCGUUCGUGGGUUCGAAUCCCACCUCCUCC